This is a long non-coding RNA of Carassius gibelio (silver crucian carp), 657 nucleotides long. RefSeq lists it as uncharacterized. Lineage: Eukaryota; Metazoa; Chordata; Actinopteri; Cypriniformes; Cyprinidae. The record is from RefSeq and is a predicted model, not a curated record. The transcript is spliced from 2 exons.
UGCAGCUUUCAGCUCAUCCAACCCCCAUCAAACACACCUGAACAAGCUAAUUAAGGCCUUCCAGACUACUGGAAAGCUACAGGCAGGUGAGCUUGAUCAACGUUGGAAUUGAUCUCCUUGGAUUUUUUAGGAACCCAUUUUACACAGAGUUUGCUACUGCAGCAACACGUGUUGGUUUAGCUUUGUGUGCUUCUUCUGACGCACAAAUUCAGGGCCUUUUCCAGCAGAGUUUGUUGUGAGAUCACAGGUCGGGAGGAUGACCGCUCGAGUGGAUUUCUCGUUGAUUGCUGCUUUGUUGUAUCUGUUCGGAUACUUGAGCAUCGCUCAUGCUAUUCAAAGACGUAACACAGUGGAUGGUUUUUGUCCGGCGACGCUGACGUUCGUGCCGGCCCGUCGAGGAUGUUCUUCUGAUGAAGACUGCCCUGGAGGACACAAAUGCUGUCGAUUUGACUGUGGGCCUGUUUGUGUGCUGCCUGUUUUCAGUGAGUUUCAUUUAAUGGCUGCUAAGGGUCUUAAAACAACACCCGUAACCCGUUGAAUUCCAUGUUGGUUUUAAGCAGAAAUUUUUCCUUGUUCUCGUCUGAAGUAGGUUUUGAAUCUAUCACUUAGGAUAGAUUAAUGCACAGGAUGACUUCACAAAAGAGGAAUAAUACUAAC